AUCCGUCACCUGACACGGCCCUACCAGGAACAGCCGCGCUCCCGCGGAUUCUGGUGCUGCUCGCGUCCCCGCUCCCCUAUUCCCCUUAUUUUAUUCCUGGCUCCCCUCGUCGAAAGUCUUCCAUUCUUCAAACUAGAUUAUUUAAAAAUGAAAAAGGAAGAAAGGAAAGCGAGGUCAUCUCAUUGCUCUAUCCGCCAAUCAGGAGGCUGAAUGUCAGUUUUGAACUAAAAGCCGCUCCGCUCCUCUUCUAGAUUUGGAAAACAAGCGAAAUUAAACUAAACCGCUGCACGCCUCUGACGCGACAUCUGGACACGGCGCGGCGCUGGCGCUGCCGGAGCUGUCGACCCGGCCUGGCGCCGGACUAGUGUCCCUUUUGAUGAGAAGAAUAAGCCUCAUUCUGAUUCAACAGCAGAGAUCAAAGAAAAGACUUCUGUUUUCUGGCCACCAGAUAUAUGUUAUCUGUGCUUAAAGAAUUGAAAAACACACAUCAAAGGAGAAUUUUCUUGGAAAGAGAGGGUUCAAGCAUCACUGUUAGGUGUGCUGGAAUCCUUUCCCGAGUCAGUACUGCUUUCUAGAAGAAAACCGGGGAGAUCUAUUUGGAAUGUAUCUAACUCCAAAGAAACCAUCAGAGGUAACAGUAUCUUACAGACAGCAAGUUGAACAUUGUGGGAUGCAUGAGCUAUUGAGGCCUUUGCAGCUUUCUGCUACAUGGAGGCUAGGGCCAGAGUCAAGAUUUAUGCUUUGCAGCACACUGGUCAGCUGUUUUUGCAAAUCAGAUUAAAUGAUUUUUAAAUGAGGCUGAGAGCAUGGGAGAUACUAAUGUGUGUUUCCUUGUGAGCUACUGCAUAAGUUAGGAAAUUGAAAUACAGAAAGAUGAAAAGUGAUUUGCCCAAGCAUAUAGAUCAAAGCUGUGGCAGA
This 918-nucleotide long non-coding RNA is filed under the name Homo sapiens (human). RNAcentral's name for it is "non-protein coding CDKN2B-AS1:53". The stretch from base 373 to 516 matches the Rfam family "CDKN2B antisense RNA 1 convserved region 3". The record is from RNAcentral. Lineage: Eukaryota; Metazoa; Chordata; Mammalia; Primates; Hominidae.